UUCCUACGGGGGGCAGCAGUGGGGAAUAUUGGUCAAUGGGCGCAAGCCUGAACCAGCCACGCCGCGUGAGUGAUGAAGGCCUUCGGGUUGUAAAGCUCUGUGGGGAGGGACGAAAACGGUCCGGAAGAAACGACGGAUCCUUGACGGUACCUCCUUAGCAAGCACCGGCUAACUCUGUGCCAGCAGCCGCGGUAAUACAGAGGGUGCGAACGUUGCUCGGAAUUACUGGGCGUAAAGCGCGUGUAGGCGGGAUGAUAAGUCGGAAGUGAAAUCCCCGGGCUCAACCCGGGAACUGCUUUCGAAACUGUCGUCCUCGAGUACCGGAGAGGGUGGCGGAAUUCCUGGUGUAGAGGUGAAAUUCGUAGAUAUCAGGAGGAACACCGGUGGCGAAGGCGGCCACCUGGACGGUCACUGACGCUGAGACGCGAAAGCGUGGGGAGCAAACAGGAUUAGAUACCCCAGUAGUC
This 467-nucleotide ribosomal RNA is filed under the name uncultured Myxococcales bacterium. Its description in RNAcentral is "bacterial SSU rRNA". It matches the Rfam family "Bacterial small subunit ribosomal RNA", at positions 336 to 795 of the family's 1533-position model. Lineage: Bacteria; Pseudomonadati; Myxococcota; Myxococcia; Myxococcales. The record is from RNAcentral.